Molecule: ribosomal RNA, 303 nt
Filed under: Salmonella enterica
Lineage: Bacteria; Pseudomonadati; Pseudomonadota; Gammaproteobacteria; Enterobacterales; Enterobacteriaceae
Also listed under: 1 other name
Description: partial 23S ribosomal RNA
Rfam family: Bacterial large subunit ribosomal RNA
Source: RNAcentral
GGUUAAGCGACUAAGCGUACACGGUGGAUGCCCUGGCAGUCAGAGGCGAUGAAGGGCGUGCUAAUCUGCGAUAAGCGCCGGUAAGGUGAUAUGAACCGUUAUAACCGGCGAUACCCGAAUGGGGAAACCCAGUGUGACUCGUCACACUAUCAUUAACUGAAUCCAUAGGUUAAUGAGGCGAACCGGGGGAACUGAAACAUCUAAGUACCCCGAGGAAAAGAAAUCAACCGAGAUUCCCCCAGUAGCGGCGAGCGAACGGGGAGGAGCCCAGAGCCUGAAUCAGCAUGUGUGUUAGUGGAAGCG